RNAcentral lists this transfer RNA (75 nucleotides) under Fasciola gigantica. RNAcentral's name for it is "tRNA-Arg". Lineage: Eukaryota; Metazoa; Platyhelminthes; Trematoda; Plagiorchiida; Fasciolidae. The record is from RNAcentral.
AUGGCGGUGGUCAAAAUGCUAUCAUCACGGGCUUCUAACCCUUCUCUCCGGGGUUCGAAUCCUCCCGCCGCCGUU